Long non-coding RNA from Camelus dromedarius (Arabian camel), 657 nucleotides. RefSeq lists it as uncharacterized. The record is from RefSeq and is a predicted model, not a curated record. The transcript has 2 exons. Lineage: Eukaryota; Metazoa; Chordata; Mammalia; Artiodactyla; Camelidae.
AGUGCUGUCCUGAGCCCACCAGGUUAAGAAAAGGAGUUUAGUUGACUAGAAGAUGAGAGGCCACGUGAAGGACAGUUGAGGUUAUCACCAAGCACCCAUCAUAUGAAUGGAGGCAUCAUGGACCAACCUACCUUCAAGCUAAAUGAAGCAGCGUGGAAUGAACCCAGGUGAAGGAGCAAAACAACUAGCCAACUAAUCUACAGAAUUAAUGACUUUGACUCACCCAUUCUCUUCUAUGGUAGAGCCAUUCAGACAGAAAUUCCAGGACCUCAGUGUGGAGGAAGCUCUUUCUCUGGAAGGCUGGUACAAACUAACCUGAGAUGAGAACUACUGAAGCUGCCCACGAAUUUGACUGCGUUUCGUGUCCUCGUUCUUACCAUGGAGCCCUUGCACCCACUUAGAGGAGUUUAUAAGGGAAGAAAAGGAAUAAAUCCUGGACUUUUAAUACACAGUCAUCCCCUGUUUUUUCAAAGUGCACCACUUGGCUUUGACCAAAGACCUAUUAACAUUGGCCAAAAGAAAUCCAAAGAAGAGUUUUGCUUUUAUGUACAAUUAUGAUCUCAGUGUACAGUUGGAAAAAAUUGCAGCCUUAAAGAUGUUAAGUAAAAUUCCCAAGGCUACUUAACUAAUAAAGUACGCAGCUACUAUUCAAAACCA